UAAUCACAGCCUCAACCAGCGGCCAAAACCCCGUCUUAAAAUCCUUUCUGCUUUCAUUCCACGCUGCCCUGACAAUAGCAGAAUACUUCCCUGAAGGGUAAUUUUCCUUUUUCUCAGUGCUGCCUUGAUGUUUGGAAACUUUCAUUUAUAGUGCUCUGGAUGUGCUGCCAGCACAGGAGAGAGGCAGCUAGCAGUGCCCGUCAGUGUCCCCGUGCCCAGGCUGUGACAGUGGGUGGGAACGCUGCUGACAUCACCUGAGAGGCUGCCGAGACAUUCUCAGAAGUUAAAAAACGCAUUAACUGGAAAUGACCAUUUAGCACCAUAAAAUUGCUUAUGUCGUCAUUGAUGCAAUUAUGUUUUCUAAUGAAUGAAUUAUUCCCUGACCCCUCUCAUGAGGGGGAGGCAGGAAUGGCAGUGGUGAUGGCCAUCAAAUCCAUGUCCAAUGCAUGAGGGCAGCUGGACCUUUUGGACGCUCACACUGCCCUGCUGCCACCCUGAAAAACCUGUGUUCCCACCAUGUGCCAGAACAAGCUGCUCCUACAAGGCUGGUGUGAGUGACUCCGAAAAUGGAGAAGUGGAGAUGCCACUCACAGUGGUGAUGCCAUCUGUCAGAACUCUCUGUUGGCCCGAGCCACCAAUGCUGUCCUGGUGAACAGCAUGGCUUCAGCAACAGCAGCUUCUAGAACUGAAGAUUUAAACUCUAAUCCAGUCUGAACGGCAUCACCAAGAACGAGGAUGAGAAAAUGUCCUCCCACUGCCUGAGUCUGGCUUUGGAGCAUCCAUUGCUGAAGCCCGAGCUGCAAAUGGAAAGAUCAACAAUCUUGUAAAGCAGAAAUUCUACCCUGGCUACACUUGCUUUUUGGGAAGAUGCUGUGGAGAUGAUUACACAGAAAAAUGAUGAGGUUUAUACUUACCUUGUGGGAUUAGUGUGGCAAUGACGCUUCCACACUACACAGCACCAGAACUCUGGGAUAUGGCUUGAGGAAAAUGGCAAAAUUCAGAUAGAAAGAAAAGCCUGUAUUUUAUUAGGCCUCACAUCUAUUCUGAGAGUGGCCAGUGAUCUUUGACCAGGCAGGCAAGGGAUCACCCACUUGCCUUGGACUGUGUUCAACUAUGAAUGGUUACUAGAAAAAUAAAAUAAGCCUAAA
Sturnus vulgaris (Common starling) is the source of this 1148-nucleotide non-coding RNA. Lineage: Eukaryota; Metazoa; Chordata; Aves; Passeriformes; Sturnidae. The record is from RefSeq and is a predicted model, not a curated record.